UACGUAGGGCGCAAGCGUUGUCCGGAAUUAUUGGGCGUAAAGAGCUCGUAGGCGGUCUGUCGCGUCCGUUGUGAAAACUCGGGGCUCAACCCCGAGCCUGCAGUCGAUACGGGCAGACUAGAGUGCGGUAGGGGAGACUGGAAUUCCUGGUGUAGCGGUGAAAUGCGCAGAUAUCAGGAGGAACACCGGUGGCGAAGGCGGGUCUCUGGGCCGUAACUGACGCUGAGGAGCGAAAGCGUGGGGAGCAAACAGG
This 253-nucleotide ribosomal RNA is filed under the name uncultured bacterium. RNAcentral's name for it is "partial 16S ribosomal RNA". It matches the Rfam family "Bacterial small subunit ribosomal RNA", at positions 524 to 776 of the family's 1533-position model. The record is from RNAcentral.